This 398-nucleotide long non-coding RNA is filed under the name Mytilus galloprovincialis (Mediterranean mussel). Lineage: Eukaryota; Metazoa; Mollusca; Bivalvia; Mytilida; Mytilidae. The record is from RNAcentral.
UAUAUUUCUGCAAAGGAAACUUACCGAUAUAGAGGGAUACCGUUUGAAAAUUGAGAUAGAGAGAUUGACCAUCGAAAAGAGAAGACUUGAAAUUGAUGAAAACAAUAUUGCAGUCUCAGUGGCAUAACUAUAUGUCUUUUAUGAGGCUUAAAUGGCAAUGUAUUUUAGAUUGACUAUACUUAUCUAACUGUCCAAAAGCUUUUAAAUUGAUGAAAAGUAUUUUUAGAUGUUUAAUAAAUGAAUUAUACUUUUAAAUGUAACAUUCCUCAAUAUGUUCACCGUCAUAUUAUAGCUGUACAUGUUGUCCACCUUACAAGUAGUGCCAGACCGUCGCUAUCUUCGAGGUCUAAUAAUAUGAGUAAACCAAUAUCUUCACUGAUGUUGUACAGACUAUUAUA